RNAcentral lists this long non-coding RNA (380 nucleotides) under Nicotiana benthamiana. RNAcentral describes it as "long non-coding RNA (NBEN_LNC006151)". The record is from RNAcentral. Lineage: Eukaryota; Viridiplantae; Streptophyta; Magnoliopsida; Solanales; Solanaceae.
UAGAUAUGCACAAAUUGCUGCAAAGACCGAUGAACAAGAUGGUAACAAUGACUUUCUAUGCUUAGUCUAGCUAUUUUUCUCUAUCCAGCUAUGGUAACUGUUCUACUUGUACGCAUAUUAUUACCAAAUAUAGCUAAUUGAUUUAAAGAUGCAACUUGGAAGUGACCACUCUCAACGCCUUCCGCUCCAUGUCAUUGGGAAGUGACUGGACAGAUGAAGAUGGUGAUCCUUGCAUACCCGCGCAAUGGGAACUGCAACUUGGAAGUGACCACUCUCAACACCUUCCGCUCCAUGUCAUUGGGAAGCGACUGGACAGACGAAGAUGGUGAUCCUUGCAUACCCGCGCAAUGGGAAUGGGUGACUUGCAGCACAACUACUCC